This is an RNA transcript of Colossoma macropomum (tambaqui), 1906 nucleotides long. It is a transcript of the gene named high mobility group AT-hook 1b, with no coding region annotated. The transcript has 5 exons. The record is from RefSeq and is a predicted model, not a curated record. Lineage: Eukaryota; Metazoa; Chordata; Actinopteri; Characiformes; Serrasalmidae.
CUGAGCCUCCCACUGGCUUUUCCAUUGGCUUAACGUUAUUAUAGGGGCACGGUUAUUCCUGAAAAACGGUUUAAAGCGGUUUAUUCCUCGAAAUACGGAAUCCGUUUGCAGUGUCUUGGGUCGUGCGUUAUUGCAUGGACCUGGCCGGGCUUCCUCUCUAGCUGGAGCGGCGAGCGGGCAUUGUCCUUUAAUUCAAUCAGAAGACAUUGUGCACAGGAGGAGGUGACGCAGGAACAUCAGGAACAUGAGUGAUUCCGAAAAACAGAGCAUUUCUCUGAAAGAGAAGGAUGGAGUGGAGAAGAGGGGACGGGGGAGGCCGAGAAAACAUCCGAAGGAGUCCAGUGGAUCCCCUGUUCCGAAAAGACCAAGAGGGAGGCCAAAAGGCAGCAAAAACAAAGGGCCCUCCAAGAAAAGAGCUGUGUCAUCUUCAGGAAAGAAGCUAAAGGGGAAGCCCAAGAAAGAGGAAAAAGAUCAGGCAUCUCAGGAGUGCUCGGAGGACGACGAGGAGGAUGAAGAUGAGGAGCAGUAACUGUCUCAUCCUCAGCACUACCUCAAGACACUCAACUUGGCACCACUCACUUAUCUGCAACCUGUGUUUAACAAGGGAAUGUCAUUUGCUCAGACCCCUUUCACAACUUCAGAGGACUGAUAUACAUCAUAUUCUCUCUCUCUCUCUCUCUCACUCACUCUCUCUCUCUCUCUCUCUGUAACACAAUCAGUUAUGUAAAAACUGGAAUAAUUUUAGAAAUCUGUGAAUUAGAUCAUGUAAGUGUUUAGUACAUUUAAUGGUGCUUACUGGGUGCUUUUCUACUUUUGUUCAGGUUGGCUUUUUAUGUAUUUUAUGUGGCUUCUAAGGUGAGAGUUAUAGAAUUAGAAAGAGCAAGCUAUAUGUUUUGACUGUGAUGUGUAGUGGUCCUAUAGUUUUAGUGGAGGGCUUUCUGCUUAAAUGCAGCUGUUUUAAAACACCCCUGCACCGUAAACUGGCUAGAUUUCAUUUUAUUAGAUUUGCUUUAUUAUACAUGUCGAUGAGUGAGUAUUGAACAUUUGUUGAAGGUUAAGUGUGUGUAGUUUGUGAGAUAUACUGACCACGCAUUUACGGAAUUUAGAUAAUGAGAAACCAUUCUCAGCAGUCUUUCUCAAUCUGUUGUAUUAGUUGAAUAGUGGAUGUAGGUGUUUCAAGCAUAGUUCUCACUUCACGUACAUUCCAGUAGCACUUAUCUCGUGACCAAAUUCGAUGGGCUGUUCGUCUUAGGUAUUUUGCUCACUGACAGAUUUGCCACGUUUUAUUUAACUGUUCCCAACCGGUCACUUUCUAGGACAAACGGAAAGACACCCAGGGCAAAUUGAUAACGGCUAAAGUCUUUUAUACAUUUAUCUGGUAAACACUAUUCUUUAAACGACAGUUUAUCACAAUUCAAAAUUUAUGGGUCCGUUCAAAUACUACUGGGAGUUUACAAUGAACACUUGUGAAAUAAUGCUCGCUUGACCAGCUAUACCUCAGUACCAUGGCUUGUGCUCGUGACAAGCCCACAUUUUUGUUGUAAUAAUGACUGUUUUUACUCUGAGCUUACAUCACACGUUUCAUCCAUGCCCAUUUUCUGAACCAUUGCAACAAUAUGCAUUACCCACCUCAGGAAUUACAGUGUACAGAAAGGCAGCAAAAGACCAAGGUAGUGUUCAGAUAGCACUGAUGACUUCUGUAUAGAAUAUGUUUGUCUUUUCACUUGGAAAUAGCCUUUGCCCUGCACCUAUUUUUGAUGCAGCUGAGGAAUUGUCUACAAACUUUUUUAGGCUUAUACCACAUUUUGUUGAUGCAGCAGCAGGAUACAUAUUUAUUUCAUGUUUAAUUAAGAACUAAAUUGUACCUGUGUAGCAUGUUGUGUUGUUAAUAAAAUACAUUUUCUCA